GUCGAUGCGGCCGCACGGUUCGAGCUGCUUCUCUCCAACGCUGAACCAUGACGAGAAGGUGUUGGAUAUGGGGUCUCGCAACUUCUUCAUCUGCGCCAGAAGAUUCUGAAUGGAUUAUCUGUAUCUUGCAGCGUCGCCUCCACAGUGCUCCCUCUCGCUGAACGUCAGGAGUUAAGAGUGUUCAUACAUGCUUAGCACUUCAGUUCCAGAUACAGAUAUGGUCCAGUUCAGCGAGAGGGUGAAUAUCAGGAGAGGAUCAGAGUGUACAGUUUGUACAAAAAAACUGAAGUUCGACCUGCUCUUGUAUAAACCUUCGCAAUGCAUUAUAAUUUGCCACUAGAAUCCAGUACACUGGUAUUGCGUUGAAUGUGUGGUGCCUUAGUUUGACCCAUUUGUAUUGCUAAUGAAUUAUGAUUCUGUUUUAAAUGAUAAGGUUGGGUACCUCGCAGCUUUGUCGACAGGGAGAUGCUAGACAGGAUCAAGAGUAUGCCAGAAGAGCUUCAGCCAGCCACCCCUAAGGGGCCUCACCCAAAAUGGUGUUACAUGUGGGGUGUUGGCCCUCGCCCGUCAAAUACCCAUUUAGGCUGUCAUUUCACAUGAUCCCUUUAGUGGAAUGUGAAUUCUGAAUGGAUUGCAUGGAUCAGACCUGACCAUUUAUCCGUGUCACAUACUGAACUCAUACCCUAUUAUCCUCCAUGACUUACCGAAGUGGAAACAUACAAUGGAUUCCUGGGGUGCAAAAAUGAUUUCUGCAAUUGAGGUUGUUGCUGAGAUGGCUGCGAUUUGAUUUGGCUUUAUCAAAGGAUGUGUUUACCUCUUUGAUGAAGGAGUUAGUGUUUUAAUUCUCUGCAGUUGUUGUCAAAUUUUCUGAUAUACAUGUUCUUAAAGUAAUGCAAAGUCUCAGCAUUUUCAGUACUACAAGUAAUACAGGUUAGCCUUGCCGUUUUUUCUGGAUACUGAAUUGAUCUACACUCGUGGGUUGAUGGAAGGGUAUGCUUGUUCAUAUUAGUUGUAAAGGUCACAGCUAUCG
Long non-coding RNA from Lolium perenne, 1030 nucleotides. RefSeq lists it as uncharacterized. NCBI's taxonomy places the organism in Eukaryota, Viridiplantae, Streptophyta, Magnoliopsida, Poales, Poaceae. The record is from RefSeq and is a predicted model, not a curated record.